This 77-nucleotide transfer RNA is filed under the name Emcibacter nanhaiensis. RNAcentral's name for it is "tRNA-Arg". It matches the Rfam family "tRNA". Rfam says of the family: Transfer RNA (tRNA) molecules are approximately 80 nucleotides in length. Their secondary structure includes four short double-helical elements and three loops (D, anti-codon, and T loops). RNAcentral also lists the same sequence under 21 other names. Lineage: Bacteria; Pseudomonadati; Pseudomonadota; Alphaproteobacteria; Emcibacterales; Emcibacteraceae. The record is from RNAcentral.
GCGCUCGUAGCUCAGCUGGAUAGAGCACUAGACUACGAAUCUAGGGGUCGGGAGUUCGAAUCUUCCCGAGCGCGCCA